CAAAGGAUAGUUUAUAUGUAAAAUAACAGUUUUGGGUAUUGUUGAUAAUUAAUUUAAUUUCCUUUGA
This 67-nucleotide transfer RNA is filed under the name Eurycantha calcarata. Its description in RNAcentral is "tRNA-Pro". Lineage: Eukaryota; Metazoa; Arthropoda; Insecta; Phasmatodea; Phasmatidae. The record is from RNAcentral.